Molecule: ribosomal RNA, 383 nt
Filed under: uncultured bacterium
Lineage: Bacteria
Description: bacterial SSU rRNA
Rfam family: Bacterial small subunit ribosomal RNA
Source: RNAcentral
UAUUGCACAAUGGGCGAAAGCCUGAUGCAGCGACGCCGCGUGAGGGAUGACGGCCUUCGGGUUGUAAACCUCUUUCAGUAGGGAAGAAGCGAAAGUGACGGUACCUGCAGAAGAAGCACCGGCUAACUACGUGCCAGCAGCCGCGGUAAUACGUAGGGUGCGAGCGUUAUCCGGAAUUAUUGGGCGUAAAGAGCUCGUAGGCGGUUUGUCGCGUCUGUCGUGAAAGUCCGGGGCUUAACCCCGGAUCUGCGGUGGGUACGGGCCGACUAGAGUGCAGUAUGGGAGACUGGAAUUCCUGGUGUAGCGGUGGAAUGCGCAGAUAUCAGGAGGAACACCGAUGGCGAAGGCAGGUCUCUGGGCUGUAACUGACGCUGAGAGCGAAA